Molecule: ribosomal RNA, 523 nt
Filed under: uncultured Campylobacter sp.
Lineage: Bacteria; Pseudomonadati; Campylobacterota; Epsilonproteobacteria; Campylobacterales; Campylobacteraceae
Description: bacterial SSU rRNA
Rfam family: Bacterial small subunit ribosomal RNA
Source: RNAcentral
UAUGGCUUAACCAUAGAACUGCUUGGGAAACUGAUAAUCUAGAGUGAGGGAGAGGCAGAUGGAAUUGGUGGUGUAGGGGUAAAAUCCGUAGAGAUCACCAGGAAUACCCAUUGCGAAGGCGAUCUGCUGGAACUCAACUGACGCUAAUGCGUGAAAGCGUGGGGAGCAAACAGGAUUAGAUACCCUGGUAGUCCACGCCCUAAACGAUGUAUACUAGUUGUUGCUAAGCUAGUCUUGGCAGUAAUGCACCUAACGGAUUAAGUAUACCGCCUGGGGAGUACGGUCGCAAGAUUAAAACUCAAAGGAAUAGACGGGGACCCGCACAAGCGGUGGAGCAUGUGGUUUAAUUCGAAGAUACGCGAAGAACCUUACCCGGACUUGAUAUCUAACAAAUCAUCUAGAGAUAGAAGAGUGUCUGCUUGCAGAAAUGUUAAGACAGGUGCUGCACGGCUGUCGUCAGCUCGUGUCGUGAGAUGUUGGGUUAAGUCCCGCAACGAGCGCAACCCACGUCAUUAGUUGCUAA